GAAAAAGUCAGUUUCUAGAAUCCAUCUGAAGUUUUAACCGGCGGCUUACAAGGGAAGAGAGUUUUUCCGUUUUGAACAACGUGCGCAGUUCCUGUCUGUCAAUCCAAGAGCUUACUUACCUGGACCCGAACCUCGGGUAGGUUAACCUUGCCGGCCAGCUCUUCGCGGCUGUACACGUCGGGGUAGUGGGACUUCUCGAAGGCGCGCUCCAGCUCGUGCAGUUGGUAAGUGGUGAACGUCGUGCGGUUGCGUCGAUGCUUCUUUUUGGGAGGUUCCUCCUCCGACAGCUUCGAGUCGCCUGCUGCUGGCCCAACCGAGAGUCCUGGGCUCGGACGUGCUUCUCCUUGCUCCUUGGGGUAGCAGGGCCUAGUAGCUGGGGGCAGCGAAGCCCCAAGCCGUCAGUGACACUCUUCGCGGAGGCGAAGCGACCUCUCUACGGCCCUAGGCGACCCGGUGCCGCGUGAGCUGGUCUAAGGAGGUCCGCGAUGGGGACCUAUGUGGGGUCACUAGAAUUUCUCUAACCUCAAGUCGGGCAAACCCCAAACCCACGACCUAAAGGUAAAGGAGGAGAAGCUCCCGUCUUGCAGAGCACCCCAGGGACUUUGCAGCCUUGCUGAGUGAGCACUCACCUUCGUACUCCGGGACGAGCCCCGGGGCUGCUGGUGGGGAAGACUCGGAGCCUCCGGCUGGCGCCUUGGGGCAGGCGGGCUGCGCGCCCAGCCUGGGAUCCCGCUCUUUCGAGCCUCUGGAGCUCCUCUCUGCAGGAAAGGUGUCUAGGAUGCCGUCUUCCUUGGUAAAGCCCAGGAUGGCUUCGAUGCUGUGCAAACGCGACGUGCUCCCGCCCGGGCUGCGGAGCAGGUGGCCAGCGAGCGAGAAGCUCCCGUCGGCCAUGGUUGGCGCGCAGCCCGGCAGGUGCAUGGAGAGGAGGGAGUGCACUUUGCAAACUGGAGCUCGAUGCCCGGUUCCCUUCUCCACCCUCACCCCCUCAAGUGUGCACUUCUAGAACGUGAGCAAAUGGAUGGGUCGGUCCAAAGCUAAACUCGGUGGAUAGGUCUGUCCACAAAGCUAAACUCGGCGGGCAACCAACCGGCUUGGGCAACGGCUCAGGAGGUGGGCAAGCGCUGGGCCAGCGAUUAACUGGACCUGCUGCUGCAGCUGCAAGUUUAGCCUCGGGGUAACUGGAGCUUUGGCGCUAAAGGCCCGCAGCGCUCUAGUCUGGGACUCCACCCUCUCUUCAGGCCCAGCCCUUUCCCUCUGUCCCUCCCCCUAUAGAGGGCGGGUCUUUCCCCUCUCAGCCUAGGGUCCUGCUCCCUGUCACCCAGGCCAGUUCCCUGAAAGUCCCUUCAUCUGAUCUAUUUCAACUCCACAUUUUCCAGGUACCAGGAGUGGGAGGUUUGACGGGAGGAGGCACCUCUCCACCCCAGUCCGAACCUCCCUGAGAGAGAUCUCCCAGGGUUCACUUCACCCCUUUCUGUGUUCACCUGCCCCUCUCUUAUCUACCAUCUCCCAAAGAUUUACACUCCCGGACCAUCUUCAGGCACUUGGAAGCUCCAAGAUCGGCUGAAGACUUUGCGGCUAACCCUGGGCGAUUGAAGUUAGUUCACAGGCCUUCCUGUUUGAAUCUUCCCUUAAUCUUCCCCUCUUUUCUACACCUAUGCUUCUGUGCUUUGCCGUCCUAGACUUCGGGCUUCCUUUGUCUGUGUCAGUUUUUACUUCUCUCUGUACCCUCAGAAAUGGUGGUGAGACAGUUUGUACCCACAGACCGAAUGACCUCAAAUGUGAGAGUUCCCAGGACUCGGAGAAGACACGCGAUAUUUCCUCUCAUGAACUAUCUUGAAGGGUCAGGAUCCUUAACCAAAUUACAGAGAUGAACAACUCUGGCCGCUUCUCACUUCCACAGGCCAUGCAGACGACCCAAAACUGGUGGGUGGAGACGUUCUCCUGGAGGAGAAGGUCCUAGCGCAUCCCUGAGAGUUAGCGCCUUAAUCCGCUUGAGUUUCUUCCCCCUUGGGGGCCCCUUGAGGCUUGCUUGACCCAGAGUGACUCAAAGGCUCAGCAGAAAGAAGACUCAUAGCAGCCUCAUCACUCUUAGCAACUAUGAGCACUGCACCCCUCAAAGCCGACGACGGUUAGAGUCCAGAGGCUGGGUGAUACCCAGCCUCACUGAAGUGUUAGUCUGAGAAGGCUAUUGCAGACGCCCCCUGAGGAGCUGGGGUUCUGCUUGCCCCAAUUCCACCUUUCUCAGAUCUCCACCAAGACAGACUUCUUUCUCAUUAAUUUUUUUUGUUGUUGUUGUUGUUCCUUCUACAGGGCCAACACUAUCCUGAAUGAGGUCACACAAGUCACACAGAACCCCACGUAGUGGCUUUGAGGAGUUGAUGUGCCAGACUGUGAGGAAUGACAAAUGAAUAUAUAAUGAGGAUUAGUUGACAGUGUGUUGAAACUGAAGUCUGGCUUAGCUCGGGAAGUUUGCGUUUGAAGAAGAACCUAUUAGGGUUGAAGAUGCCAUUCAGGGUGAAGCACUUGCCUAGAAACGUUUAAUCCCCAGCACCUGUUAAAAUAAACUACAAUAC
Molecule: long non-coding RNA, 2573 nt
Filed under: Mus caroli (Ryukyu mouse)
Lineage: Eukaryota; Metazoa; Chordata; Mammalia; Rodentia; Muridae
Description: retina and anterior neural fold homeobox, opposite strand 1 (MGP_CAROLIEiJ_G0005269.1)
Source: RNAcentral